GCCCUUGUAGCUCAGUUGGUAGAGCAAUUGAUUUGUAAUCAAUAGGUCCGCGGUUCGAAUCCGUGCGGGGGCACCA
RNAcentral lists this transfer RNA (76 nucleotides) under Candidatus Pelagibacter sp. HTCC7211. RNAcentral's name for it is "tRNA-Thr". It matches the Rfam family "tRNA". From Rfam's summary of the family: Transfer RNA (tRNA) molecules are approximately 80 nucleotides in length. Their secondary structure includes four short double-helical elements and three loops (D, anti-codon, and T loops). Further hydrogen bonds mediate the characteristic L-shaped molecular structure. tRNAs have two regions of fundamental functional importance: the anti-codon, which is responsible for specific mRNA codon recognition, and the 3' end, to which the tRNAs corresponding amino acid is attached (by aminoacyl-tRNA synthetases). tRNAs cope with the degeneracy of the genetic code in two manners: having more than one tRNA (with a specific anti-codon) for a particular amino acid; and 'wobble' base-pairing, i.e. permitting non-standard base-pairing at the 3rd anti-codon position. RNAcentral also lists the same sequence under 18 other names. Lineage: Bacteria; Pseudomonadati; Pseudomonadota; Alphaproteobacteria; Candidatus Pelagibacterales; Candidatus Pelagibacteraceae. The record is from RNAcentral.